UACAGAGGGGGCAAGCGUUGUUCGGAAUUACUGGGCGUAAAGGGCGCGUAGGCGGCCUUCUAAGUCGAACGUGAAAUCCCCGGGCUCAACCCGGGAACUGCGUCCGAGACUGGAAGGCUCGAAUCCGGGAGAGGGAUGUGGAAUUCCAGGUGUAGCGGUGAAAUGCGCAGAUAUCGGGAGGAACACCAACGGCGAAGGCAGCACUCUGGGCUGGAACUGACGCUGAGGAGCGAAAGCGUGGGUAGCAAACAGG
Molecule: ribosomal RNA, 253 nt
Filed under: uncultured bacterium
Lineage: Bacteria
Description: partial 16S ribosomal RNA
Rfam family: Bacterial small subunit ribosomal RNA
Source: RNAcentral